This 791-nucleotide ribosomal RNA is filed under the name uncultured bacterium. RNAcentral's name for it is "bacterial SSU rRNA". It matches the Rfam family "Bacterial small subunit ribosomal RNA", at positions 8 to 796 of the family's 1533-position model. The record is from RNAcentral.
AGAGUUUGAUCAUGGCUCAGAUUGAACGCUGGCGGCAUGCCUUACACAUGCAAGUCGAACGGCAGCACGGGGGCAACCCUGGUGGCGAGUGGCGAACGGGUGAGUAAUACAUCGGAACGUGUCCUGGAGUGGGGGAUAGCCCGGCGAAAGCCGGAUUAAUACCGCAUACGAUCUCUGGAUGAAAGCGGGGGACCGAAAGGCCUCGCGCUCAAGGGGCGGCCGAUGGCAGAUUAGCUAGUUGGUGGGGUAAAGGCCUACCAAGGCGACGAUCUGUAGCUGGUCUGAGAGGACGACCAGCCACACUGGGACUGAGACACGGCCCAGACUCCUACGGGAGGCAGCAGUGGGGAAUUUUGGACAAUGGGCGCAAGCCUGAUCCAGCCAUGCCGCGUGUGUGAAGAAGGCCUUCGGGUUGUAAAGCACUUUUGUCCGGAAAGAAAACCUCGUGGUUAAUACCCGUGGGGGAUGACGGUACCGGAAGAAUAAGCACCGGCUAACUACGUGCCAGCAGCCGCGGUAAUACGUAGGGUGCAAGCGUUAAUCGGAAUUACUGGGCGUAAAGCGUGCGCAGGCGGUUCGCUAAGACAGAUGUGAAAUCCCCGGGCUUAACCUGGGAACUGCAUUUGUGACUGGCGGGCUAGAGUAUGGCAGAGGGGGGUAGAAUUCCACGUAGCAGUGAAAUGCGUAGAGAUGUGGAGGAAUACCGAUGGCGAAGGCAGCCCCCUGGGCCAAUACUGACGCUCAUGCACGAAAGCGUGGGGAGCAAACAGGAUUAGAUACCCUAGUAGUCC